RNAcentral lists this unclassified non-coding RNA (1315 nucleotides) under Hevea brasiliensis (rubber tree). The record is from RNAcentral. Lineage: Eukaryota; Viridiplantae; Streptophyta; Magnoliopsida; Malpighiales; Euphorbiaceae.
UAUGCUUAUUUUUUUUAAUUUUUUUGUAUUUGUUAUCUUGCCUAUGUCAAAUGCCUACGUGUGAUCAAUGAUGUGUUAACUGGAACUUGUGCUUUUUUAUAGUGAGAAUGAUCAGUGAUGUGUUAACUGGAACUUGUGAUUUUUUAUAGUGAGAAUUCUAUAAUUUCUAACUUCGCAUACACAUCAGUUGCACGGGUUUUAGAUUUAUCUUAUGGACCUCUAAAAUAAUUAAUUAGCUAAUUUAACAUAUAAACUGAACUUCACCUGUAAAUUUACUAUGUUACCCAACAUCAUCUUGUUUGAUUUGAGAGCUGUUUUUGUAAUCUAGUCAUUGCCUGGGAAGUGCUCUUUUUUAGUAUUUUAUUGUUCCUUUAUUGUGUGGUCCUUUUUGACACAUUAGCAUGAGCUUAUCAGGUUUGGCACUUCCCAUCCAACUACUAAUAAUAUACUUUGUACCAAGUUCUUUAUCAAUGAUAAUACAACGAUGACUGUUUUUCUUUACAGCUGGAUUUGUUAUCUGGGCAUACCUCACAAAAAGAUACAGCUGCUGUUAAAACUGAAGAGGUUAAUUCAAACCAACCAAAUCAAAGAAAAGUAUCCUGUGAUUAUCCUCCGUGUUCAAUUAUGCCAAUAAGUGCAGCAUGCAAUAAACUUGAGCCAUCUUCGCCCAAUUCUUCUUUCAAGAAAGAAGAGGUUGGAGAUCAGGAGCUUUCCUUCGUGCUACCUGACCUAAAUCUUCCUGUUGAAGAUAACUCGGGCCCUGAUGUUCUAUAUGGGAUUAGCUGAGAAGAAUCACUUAUAUACUGGUAGUCUUCUUUUCAAAUCAAUAGCAGCAUUUGUUCUUUUAAUCUGCAGUCCUAACAGCAUCACAAAUUGAGUUAAUGUAAGUACUAUAACCAAUUAACUUCACGGCAUCUUUACCUGGAUGCGAACUCUGUUAUUUAUACUGAAAGUACUGAGGGGUAGUGUAGAGAUCCUAAUCAUUAGUUACAGCUUAGAUUCUUUCUUUGAGCAGAUUUCUACAUUCAUCCAAAUUCUUUGGGGCCAACCAACCCUCCUUCCUUCUGCUUUCUUUUUAGGAAAUAUUAACAGAUAAGUUGUAAUUACUCCAUAAAUAAUCACAUGUUUUGGUACUAUGUGAUUUUAACUAGAUGUUUCAUCGGUUUUCAGUUUAUUUUUUUUGCUCAGAUUUUGAUUUUUUUGGAAAUGGCAACAUGUUGCUUGUAUAGCUAGCUAGAUUUUAAUACCAGUUGCAGGUAUUUUUGAUUGUUAUUAUGAUAUUGGCAUGCAGUACUUGGGAACGUGAGUUGUGGAA